Molecule: ribosomal RNA, 552 nt
Filed under: uncultured bacterium
Lineage: Bacteria
Description: bacterial SSU rRNA
Rfam family: Bacterial small subunit ribosomal RNA
Source: RNAcentral
GCCCCUUCGGGGGCAAGUAAAGCGGCAGACGGGUGAGUAAUACGUGAAUAAUCUGCCUUUUGGACUGGGACAACUUCGGGAAACUGGAGCUAAUACCAGAUAAGACCACGAAUUCUCAGGUUUUUGUGGUAAAAGGUGGCCAGCUUGCUGGCUAUCACCAGAAGAUGAGUUCACGCCCCAUCAGGUUGUUGGUAAGGUAAAGGCUUACCAAGCCUAAGACGGGUAGCUGGCCUAAGAGGGCGGCCAGCCACACGGGGACUGAGACACGGCCCCGACUCCUACGGGAGGCAGCAGUGAGGAAUAUUGGGCAAUGGGCGCAAGCCUGACCCAGCGACGUCGCGUGGGGGAUGAAGGCCUUCGGGUCGUAAACCCUUGUCAUAGGGGAAGAUGGGUACAUGUGCUAAUACCACAUGUACUUGACGGUACCUUAAGAGGAAGCCCCGGCUAACUCCGUGCCAGCAGCCGCGGUAAUACGGAGGGGGCAAGCGUUGCUCGGAAUUACUGGGCGUAAAGGGUCCGCAGGUGGUUUCGAAAGUUAGAUGUGAAAGCUCA